CUUAAGCGCGCGACCUAUACCC
Molecule: non-coding RNA, 22 nt
Filed under: Arabidopsis thaliana (thale cress)
Lineage: Eukaryota; Viridiplantae; Streptophyta; Magnoliopsida; Brassicales; Brassicaceae
Source: RNAcentral